RNAcentral lists this ribosomal RNA (275 nucleotides) under uncultured bacterium. RNAcentral's name for it is "partial 16S ribosomal RNA". It matches the Rfam family "Bacterial small subunit ribosomal RNA", at positions 399 to 691 of the family's 1533-position model. The record is from RNAcentral.
GCGUGAGUGAAGAAGGCCUUAGGGUUGUAAAGCUCUUUCGCCUGCGACGAUGAUGACGGUAGCAGGAGAAGAAGCCCCGGCUAAUUCCGUGCCAGCAGCCGCGGUAAUACGGAAGGGGCUAGCGUUGUUCGGAAUUACUGGGCGUAAAGCGCGCGUAGGCGGCUUGGCAAGUGAGGCGUGAAAGUCCUGGGCUCAACCUGGGGACGGCGCUUCAGACUGCUUGGCUUGAGUCCGGAAGAGGGUGGUGGAAUUCCGAGUGUAGAGGUGAAAUUCGU